UCAGCCUCACUUCCCCCUUAGGCGGAGAGAAGGAUACAGGGAAGCUUGGUAAAAAACAGAAUUAAAGGGAAUGGGUGUCGGAAGCCGAGGGUCGGAAGUUCACGACUCAUAGAAGGGGAGGGGAAUUGAAAGGCUCUCAGUGAAGAAGGUCCAGAAUCCUCCAGAUCAAUUUACCAAUAAGUUCAAUAUGUAAAACAGACCAAUGUGAUUGAAAUGGGAAUGAAUGAGAAUUAUUCCAACUUGCCAGCAGUACUUACCCCCUUUUCCACCCUCCCCAAAGGGUGUACUUUGAAAACCAUUGGAAAAACUCACCCCCUCAUGAAUGGCUUGAAAUACCCCAUCUGUAACAUGCUACAUUAAAACGUUUGCCUAUCUCA
Long non-coding RNA from Panthera uncia (snow leopard), 377 nucleotides. RefSeq lists it as uncharacterized. NCBI's taxonomy places the organism in Eukaryota, Metazoa, Chordata, Mammalia, Carnivora, Felidae. The transcript has 2 exons. The record is from RefSeq and is a predicted model, not a curated record.